Molecule: long non-coding RNA, 812 nt
Filed under: Mus musculus (house mouse)
Lineage: Eukaryota; Metazoa; Chordata; Mammalia; Rodentia; Muridae
Description: long non-coding RNA chr11:77853891-77854703
Source: RNAcentral
GUAAGAGGUGGAGUCUGUGGCAUUUCCGGCAGGGCCCAGGCCCUCUCAAGCAGCAGAAUCAGGCCCCAAGCGACAUGCAACCCCUUACACCCCACAACCAAGCUACCAUAUCAUCUUCCCAGUGCUAGACCCAGGUGGGAAAGAUGGUUGGGGGGUCGGGUGGGGGUGUCCACCAUCCUUUCCUCCUGUGCUCUCCUUCCCAGGCCCCCCAUAGCCCAGGCUCUGGUGUUGCCUGUUCCCCGUGAGUUAUCUCCCCGUUUAGCUGCAUUUCCGUUGGCGCCUGCCCUACUCUAGGGAGAGCAGAGAUUUAAGGGCUGUGGUGCUUUGUUACUUGUGCUAGAGAUUUUCUCGCAUAAAACCCACCCAGGGAAUGGUUUUGGAGAACGAGAGAGAUUUGUAGUCCUAGGCUGAACAGAAAGCCACAAAUCCAGAGGGCCGGCAGUGUGGCAGUGGGGCUGGGACUUAGGUAGAUCCCAGAGGCUCCCCACUUCCUGCCUCAGGGUCAGGUCCCUUCCCAUGCCCAGGGUGGGGUGGGGUGGGGUGGGGCAGGGCAGGGCAGGGCAGAGCAGGCAGCCCAGGAACCUUGCUCCUUUGGGAUGAGUGCUGGCAGUGAAUGAGGCCUGGUUCUGAGGAUUCUGUUGCUCCCUUGUACCUGAUCUCAGCCAGCCAGAGAUGCCAUUCACUGAAGAAAGGGAGCCUUGGAUGGGGAUACUCCUCAGGAUGUCCCUGGAUGUCCCCGUCGGCUUCUUGUGGCCCCUUUGCCCACCAUUUUCUUUCUGUUUCCAGUUUGCAGGACAUGGUGACAAAAUAUC